RNAcentral lists this long non-coding RNA (603 nucleotides) under Triticum aestivum (bread wheat). RNAcentral describes it as "long non-coding RNA (TAES_LNC014015)". Lineage: Eukaryota; Viridiplantae; Streptophyta; Magnoliopsida; Poales; Poaceae. The record is from RNAcentral.
AGGGAUGCUAUGGGUUCGGUUAUUGCUUGGCCUCGCUCACAUGUAAGUAUGUUUUCAUUCAAGCAUUGUCUACGCUCCAAUCUGCACAUGUGUGAUAUGUUAUUUAUCCAAAAUCUUUUUGUUUUUUAGGUAAAAAUAGUUAAGCCAACUCCUCCAGCACAACCACAAAGCAUUGGUAUGAUACAUUUCUUAUAAUUUCAUCAAAGAUCUCUUAUCUUGCAGUUCUCUAUAAACAUAUGUUCAUGUAAAUGGUGUUCAUUCUCCUUUUCAGGGCAGUGAGGAUUUGAAAAGUGAGUGCAUUAAAGGAGCUAGGAGUGGCUGGGUAGUUGAGGAUUUGAAAAGGGAGUGCACUGGAGGAGUCAGGAGCAGUUGAUGAAUCUAUCUUUGAAUGAACAAAUAUUCUGGAUUAUGUACAUAUUUUAGCUUCAUAGAGAAAAAUAGUUCUUGUCUAUAGGAUAUUUUCUUAUUUAUUUUCAUCAUUGCAUGUUUCAUAUGAAUGUUUGAUAUUAUUCAGCUGUGAACUCCACGUACUUUUAGUGGAGACAUUGUUCGUGCUAAUUAAUGCAUUUGAUGUUGUUACUGAGGUUGCCAAUGUUUGCAUAU